GGAGUCGGCCGGAUGAUCGCUGCACGCUUCGCGUGUGGAGGAAAGUCCGGGCUCCAUAGGGCAGGGUGCCAGGUAACGCCUGGGCGGCGAAAGCCGACGGAAAGUGCCACAGAAAACAUACCGCCGAUGGCCUACGGGCACAGGUAAGGGUGAAAAGGUGCGGUAAGAGCGCACCGCGCGGGUGGCAACACGCCGUGGCAGGGUAAACCCCACCCGGAGCAAGGCCAAAUAGGGGUGCAUUGGUGUGGCCCGCAUCGCACCCGGGUAGGCCGCUACAGGCGCGCGGCGACGCGCGUCGCAGAUGAAUGAUCGUCCUCGACAGAACCCGGCUUACAGGCCGGCUCCCCCU
RNAcentral lists this RNase P RNA (349 nucleotides) under Gammaproteobacteria bacterium. RNAcentral describes it as "RNase P RNA component class A". It matches the Rfam family "Bacterial RNase P class A". From Rfam's summary of the family: Ribonuclease P (RNase P) is a ubiquitous endoribonuclease, found in archaea, bacteria and eukarya as well as chloroplasts and mitochondria. Its best characterised activity is the generation of mature 5'-ends of tRNAs by cleaving the 5'-leader elements of precursor-tRNAs. Cellular RNase Ps are ribonucleoproteins. RNAcentral also lists the same sequence under 1 other name. The record is from RNAcentral. Lineage: Bacteria; Pseudomonadati; Pseudomonadota; Gammaproteobacteria.